ACGUAGGGCGCAAGCGUUGUCCGGAUUUACUGGGCGUAAAGGGCGCGUAGGCGGCCUUAUAAGUCAGACGUGAAAUCCCCCGGCUUAACCUGGGAACUGCGUCUGAUACUGGGAGGCUUGAGUAUGGGAGAGGGAGGUAGAAUUCCACGUGUAGCAGUGAAAUGCGUAGAUAUGUGGAGGAAUACCGAUGGCGAAGGCAGCCUCCUGGGAUAACACUGACGCUCAUGCACGAAAUCGUGGGGAGCGAACAGG
This 252-nucleotide ribosomal RNA is filed under the name uncultured bacterium. RNAcentral describes it as "partial 16S ribosomal RNA". It matches the Rfam family "Bacterial small subunit ribosomal RNA", at positions 525 to 776 of the family's 1533-position model. The record is from RNAcentral.